GAUGAACGCUGGCGGCGUGCCUAAUACAUGCAAGUCGAGCGAACGGACGAGAAGCUUGCUUCUCUGAUGUUAGCGGCGGACGGGUGAGUAACACGUGGAUAACCUACCUAUAAGACUGGGAUAACUUCGGGAAACCGGAGCUAAUACCGGCUGAUAUUUUGAACCGCAUGGUUCAAAAGUGAAAGACGGUCUUGCUGUCACUUAUAGAUGGAUCCGCGCUGCAUUAGCUAGUUGGUAAGGUAACGGCUUACCAAGGCAACGAUGCAUAGCCGACCUGAGAGGGUGAUCGGCCACACUGGAACUGAGACACGGUCCAGACUCCUACGGGAGGCAGCAGUAGGGAAUCUUCCGCAAUGGGCGAAAGCCUGACGGAGCAACGCCGCGUGAGUGAUGAAGGUCUUCGGAUCGUAAAACUCUGUUAUUAGGGAAGAACAUAUGUGUAAGUAACUGUGCACAUCUUGACGGUACCUAAUCAGAAAGCCACGGCUAACUACGUG
Molecule: ribosomal RNA, 497 nt
Filed under: uncultured bacterium
Lineage: Bacteria
Description: partial 16S ribosomal RNA
Rfam family: Bacterial small subunit ribosomal RNA
Source: RNAcentral